Molecule: non-coding RNA, 648 nt
Organism: Pelobates cultripes (western spadefoot toad)
Lineage: Eukaryota; Metazoa; Chordata; Amphibia; Anura; Pelobatidae
Source: the annotation of a GenBank genome assembly
GUUGGUCUCUCUAACACUGUGGCAUGUCCCCUUUCUUCUACACUCACUACAGACAUCUUUUCUCUGUCUCAGACUAUAUACCAGGAACUUCUGCCUGCUAGUAAGAAGGUAAGGAGACAAGUGGACCAGCGUGUGCUAGGGGACAGUCCUUUGAAAGAAUGGAGUGAGCGCAUCAUUAGACGCAUUUAUGUCAAGCUCAAGGUGCUGCCUGCAUAGUAUGCCCUUAGUUGGACAGCCUGCAGGAUUGGCAGGCAGCCUGACAUGCAUUCAUGCCAGGCUGACCUUCCAAUUCUUUGGACAAACGUUCCCCUUUUUGGGCAUGUUCACCCCUUUUGGCAGGUCUUGUCACGUGAUUUGCGCCAGUGGCACACCCUUUUACCCCGCCCAUUGACUUCCUGCUUCACUGGACACUGCUGUUAGGGGUUAUGGAUUUACUUGAAAGAUGAAAUCAUAAAUUAGAGAGGGAUUAGCAUAGAGUAUGUGUUUUCUUAUAGCUGCAUCCUAUGAGUUUCCCUCCAGCACCAUCUCCAUCAGAUACAUGACGCUUGGGAGGUAUGAUUGUUUUAGUGUUUUUGGUCGAUAAGAUUCCGUAAUUAGGCCCAUCAUAAUUGUCAGCACCAGGCCCACUGUGCUCUUAAUCCGGCCCUG